GAUUCUUAAUACUCCCUCUGCCCUCCAUCAAAGAAUGAUUAGGUCCACUGUUAAAGCCAAAUAUAACUUAUUUUAUACUCUUUCCUCUUAUUUGACAUUCUUAAUUUGCAUGAAAAUUAUACUUAACUCAGUUCAAUCAUUCAUUAAAAGACGGAGAUAGUACAAGUUUAUAUAUCAGGAUAAAAAAAACAAAUAUUGGCUUUUCACAAAGGGCUUAUUACGUAAAAUAUAGUGCAACAGACUAAACUAAAAGCUCAUAAUGGAAAAUUUAGCAAGCAACAAGUUAAAAAAACAGUGUGAGCAAAAAGAAGAUUUGGAACAUAAAUACUAACCACAAGCAGAAGUACCACUCUGAGAUGCAAUAUGCUUUGUUUGGUUGCAUCAUGAGUUUCUCCCAAUGCCUCAAGAGCCUUCAACAUAAGCAUCAACCCAUGGUGCUUUAUGGUCAAUUCCCCCAGAGCCCCAUCCAAUUCCAAAGUUAUCUGCAAUGCUCUUUAUUUUGGUCAGCUUCGGACAAACAAGCAUGCUCAAAACCUGUGCCCGGUGUCACGUCGAGCUUUUAUAAGCAAUUUCAUCAAUGGUCAAAGAGGCACCUCUAUUUGGCACAUAUUGGAACUUCAAACUUUUUCUUUAGUAAGUCGUUCUACCUUGUCUCAUUUUUACUCCGCAAACAACUUAAUGUGGUAUUAUUACUACUAAGACCAUAUACUGUGUGUGUGUGAUAGAUAAUAACAAUGCAACAGCAUACUCUGUGUGUGAUAGAUACUAACACAAUGAAACAAACAAUAUUUUAAAAGAAAUUAGAUUAUCGAUGCAGAAUUCGAUUUCAAAUCAAAAUUCACCUAUAAUAGGAAAAGAAAUCAAUUACGUAAAAAGAAACUAAAGAAAGUGAUAGCACCCAUCUGAUAUCAAAAUUUUACUUAAGCAUAAAAAAAACAGUUGAAAGAUAUAGUCAUACGCAUUUUGUAGCUGCUUUUAGUAUACAAGUUCAUACUUCACACCAAGUGCUCAUAAAUGGACGCUUUAGAAGCAACGGAAGGUUAUAUUAACAGAACAUUUACAUUUAGUGAAGUUUAAGUAACUCUGCCACUGAAAUCCAUAAGUGAGUAAAUAUUUAGCCCUACAAACAGCAAACAAAAGCAUAUGAAUUUUAAUUAAGAACAACAAGUAUUACCAAAAACAAAUUCUCAGUAAAACAAAAUUUAAAAAAUGCCCAUAGUUUCAAAUUUCAGAAUUUGAUUUUUUUACAUAUAUUUUGAAUGACUAAUCACUCUAAAUACCAAAUUAGAUAAACAAUGAUGAUUUAGCAGAAAUAGAGUUGACAGUACAUUAAGAUCAACAAAUGUAAUUUAACAUACAAAUGUAUCUGGUCAUUAGAGAUAAGGUAUAAAAAUCGAUGUAUUUCCAUGGGUUGCCCUCGUUCAGAAUAGCAAAUCAAACAAUAAAACCGCAGUCACAAUUAUAGGGAAAAGAAAAAGGGAAACAAUUAAUCAAGGAAUCACCAAAUUAACAUUUAAGAAAGAAUAAGAUGCAUGUCUAGAUCUUACUGCAGUGGGGAAUGCCGCCAAUUAACGACUUCUGCCGCUAGAUUCAAGUUUCUAAUUCUAGCCCC
RNAcentral lists this long non-coding RNA (1612 nucleotides) under Panax ginseng (ginseng). RNAcentral describes it as "long non-coding RNA (PGIN_LNC010639)". Lineage: Eukaryota; Viridiplantae; Streptophyta; Magnoliopsida; Apiales; Araliaceae. The record is from RNAcentral.